RNAcentral lists this ribosomal RNA (464 nucleotides) under uncultured bacterium. Its description in RNAcentral is "bacterial SSU rRNA". It matches the Rfam family "Bacterial small subunit ribosomal RNA", at positions 34 to 507 of the family's 1533-position model. The record is from RNAcentral.
CGCUGGCGGCGCGCCUAACACAUGCAAGUCGAACGAGCGAGAGAGAGCUUGCUUUCUCGAGCGAGUGGCGAACGGGUGAGUAACGCGUGAGGAACCUGCCUCAAAGAGGGGGGACAACAGUUGGAAACGACUGCUAAUACCGCAUAAGCCCACGGGUCGGCAUCGACCAGAGGGAAAAGGAGCAAUCCGCUUUGAGAUGGCCUCGCGUCCGAUUAGCUAGUUGGUGAGGUAACGGCCCACCAAGGCAACGAUCGGUAGCCGGACUGAGAGGUUGAACGGCCACAUUGGGACUGAGACACGGCCCAGACUCCUACGGGAGGCAGCAGUGGGGAAUAUUGCACAAUGGGGGAAACCCUGAUGCAGCGACGCCGCGUGGAGGAAGAAGGUCUUCGGAUUGUAAACUUCUUUUAUUAAGGACGAAGAAAGUGACGGUACUUAAUGAAUAAGCUCCGGCUAACUACGUG